UGGGGAAUUUUGGACAAUGGGCGAAAGCCUGAUCCAGCAAUGCCGCGUGUGUGAAGAAGGCCUUCGGGUUGUAAAGCACUUUUGUCCGGAAAGAAAUCCUUGGCUCUAAUACAGUCGGGGGAUGACGGUACCGGAAGAAUAAGCACCGGCUAACUACGUGCCAGCAGCCGCGGUAAUACGUAGGGUGCAAGCGUUAAUCGGAAUUACUGGGCGUAAAGCGUGCGCAGGCGGUUUGCUAAGACCGAUGUGAAAUCCCGGGCUCAACCUGGGAACUGCAUUGGUGACUGGCAGGCUAGAGUAUGGCAGAGGGGGGUAGAAUUCCACGUGUAGCAGUGAAAUGCGUAGAGAUGUGGAGGAAUACCGAUGGCGAAGGCAGCCCCCUGGGCCAAUACUGACGCUCAUGCACGAAAGCGUGGGGGAGCAAAACAGGAUUAGAUACCCUGGUAGUCCACGCCCUAAACGAUGUCAACUAGUUGUUGGGGAUUCAUUUCCUUAGUAACGUAGCUAACGCGUGAAGUUGACCGCCUGGGGAGUACGGUCGCAAGAUUAAAACUCAAAUGAAUUGACGGGGUCAUAGCUGUUUCCU
This 586-nucleotide ribosomal RNA is filed under the name uncultured bacterium. RNAcentral describes it as "partial 16S ribosomal RNA". It matches the Rfam family "Bacterial small subunit ribosomal RNA", at positions 355 to 1375 of the family's 1533-position model. The record is from RNAcentral.